This 428-nucleotide ribosomal RNA is filed under the name uncultured bacterium. RNAcentral describes it as "partial 16S ribosomal RNA". It matches the Rfam family "Bacterial small subunit ribosomal RNA", at positions 354 to 796 of the family's 1533-position model. The record is from RNAcentral.
GUGGGGAAUAUUGGGCAAUGGGCGAAAGCCUGACCCAGCAACGCCGCGUGAAGGAAGAAGGUUUUCGGAUUGUAAACUUCUGUCCUCAGGGAAGAAGGAAGUGACGGUACCUGAGGAGGAAGCCCCGGCUAACUACGUGCCAGCAGCCGCGGUAAUACGUAGGGGGCGAGCGUUGUCCGGAAUGACUGGGCGUAAAGGGCGCGUAGACGGCUGUCUAAGUCUGGAGUGAAAGUCCUGCUUUCAAGGUGGGAAUUGCUUUGGAGACUGGAUGGCUUGAGUGCGGAAGAGGUAAGUGGAAUUCCCAGUGUAGCGGUGAAAUGCGUAGAGAUUGGGAAGAACACCAGUGGCGAAGGCGACUUACUGGGCCGUAACUGACGUUGAUGCGCGAAAGCGUGGGGAGCGAACAGGAUUAGAUACCCGAGUAGUCC